This 274-nucleotide ribosomal RNA is filed under the name uncultured bacterium. RNAcentral describes it as "partial 16S ribosomal RNA". It matches the Rfam family "Bacterial small subunit ribosomal RNA", at positions 523 to 796 of the family's 1533-position model. The record is from RNAcentral.
AUACGGAGGGUGCAAACGUUGUUCGGAAUCACUGGGCGUAAAGGGCGCGCAGGCGGUUUGAUUAGGCAGAUGUGAAAGCCCACGGCUUAACCGUGGAAGUGCAUUUGAAACUGUCAGACUUGAGUACCAGAGGGGGUAGUGGAAUUCCCGGUGUAGAGGUGAAAUUCGUAGAUAUCGGGAGGAAUACCGGUGGCGAAGGCGACUACCUGGCUGGAUACUGACGCUGAGGCGCGAAAGCGUGGGGAGCAAACAGGAUUAGAAACCCCAGUAGUCC